This 468-nucleotide ribosomal RNA is filed under the name Ovis aries (sheep). RNAcentral describes it as "partial 12S ribosomal RNA". The record is from RNAcentral. Lineage: Eukaryota; Metazoa; Chordata; Mammalia; Artiodactyla; Bovidae.
UAUAGGUUUGGUCCCAGCCUUCCUGUUAACUUUCAAUAGACUUAUACAUGCAAGCAUCCACGCCCCGGUGAGUAACGCCCUUCGAAUCACACAGGACUAAAAGGAGCAGGUAUCAAGCACACACUCUUGUAGCUCACAACGCCUUGCUUAACCACACCCCCACGGGAGACAGCAGUAACAAAAAUUAAGCCAUAAACGAAAGUUUGACUAAGCCAUAUUGACUAGGGUUGGUAAAUCUCGUGCCAGCCACCGCGGUCAUACGAUUGACCCAAGCUAACAGGAGUACGGCGUAAAGCGUGUUAAAGCAUCAUACUAAAUAGAGUUAAAUUUUUUUUAAACUGUAAAAAGCCAUAAUUAUAACAAAAAUAAAUGACGAAAUGUAAUCCUACAAUAGCUGAUACACCAUAGCUAAGACCCUAACUGGGAUUAGAUACCCCACUAUGCUUAGCCCUAAACACAAAUAAUUAU